GUAUUCUAGUUUAUUAUUAACUAAUUGUAGACAAUUUUUAAGAAAAGUAGUAAAUAGUAUAUGACGAAGAAGGAUCGGGCGCGGACGCUUUCCCCCUCUCCACCUACAGUGCACACAAGGUGGGUAAUGGAUUUAAAGUGCCAUUAAACACUCAUUGUGAAUGAUCCUUCCGCAGGUUCACCUACGGAAA
RNAcentral lists this unclassified non-coding RNA (190 nucleotides) under uncultured fungus. RNAcentral's name for it is "sequence contains ITS1". The record is from RNAcentral. Lineage: Eukaryota; Fungi.